UGAAUACGAGACGCUAAGGCGUCGAAGUAGUGUAUGUCAUACUUCCAAGAAAAGCUUGCACUGUCAUAGAUAAAAAACGCCUGUACCAUAACCGACACAGGUGGGUAGGUAGAGUAUACUAAGGGGCGCGAGAUAACUCUCUCUAAGGAACUCGGCAAAAUAACUCCGUAACUUCGGGAGAAGGAGUGCCUUAUUAUUAAGGCUGCAAUAACAAGAUCCAAGCAACUGUUUAUCAAAAACACAGGUCUCCGCUAAGUCGUAAGACGAUGUAUGGGGGCUGACGCCUGCCCAGUGCCAGAAGGUUAAAGAAGUUGGUUAGCAUUUGCGAAGCUGAUAACUGAAGCCCUGGUGAACGGCGGCCGUAACGAUAACGGUCCUAAGGUAGCGAAAUUCCUUGUCGGGUAAGUUCCGACCCGCACGAAAGGCGUAAUGAUUUGGAUACUGUCUCGGAGAGGGGCUCGGUGAAAUAGACUUGUCUGUGAAGAUGCGGACUACCUGCACCAGGACAGAAAGACCCUAUGAAGCUUUACUGUAACUUGAAAUUGAAAUUGGACUUUAUUCGCGCAGCAUAGGUGGGAGGCGUUGAUUAUAAUCUUGUGGGAUUAUUGGAGCCAUCAGUGAGAUACCACUCUUGUAAUGUUAGAUUUCUAACUUUGAAUCAUUAUCUGGUCAAAGAACAGUUUCAGGCGGGCAGUUUGACUGGGGCGGUCGCCUCCUAAACGGUAACGGAGGCGUACAAAGGUUUCCUCUGAACGGUUAGAAAUCGUAUCUAGAGUGUAAAGGCAUAAGGAAGCUUGACUGUGAGACCUACAAGUCGAGCAGGGACGAAAGUCGGUCUUAGUGAUCUGACGGUACUGAGUGGAAAGGCCGUCACUCAACGGAUAAAAGUUACUCUAAGGAUAACAGGCUGAUCUCCCCCAAGAGUUCACAUCGACGGGGAGGUUUGGCACCUCGAUGUCGGCUCAUCGCAUCCUGGGGCGGUAGUACGUCCCAAGGGUUGGGCUGUUCGCCCAUGAAAGCGGUACGCGAGCUGGGUUCAGAACGUCGUGAGACAGUUCGGUCCAUAUCCGGUGUAGGCGUUAGAAUAUUGAGAGGAGCCUUCUUUAGUACGAGAGGACCGAGAAGGACAUACCUCUGGUGUACCAGUUAUCGUGCCAACGGUAAACGCUGGGUAGCUAUGUAUGGAGUGGAUAACCGCUGAAAGCAUCUAAGUGGGAAGCCCACCUCAAGAUAAGUAUUCUCAUC
Molecule: ribosomal RNA, 1245 nt
Filed under: metagenome
Description: bacterial LSU rRNA
Rfam family: Bacterial large subunit ribosomal RNA
Source: RNAcentral